Molecule: long non-coding RNA, 2023 nt
Organism: Manis pentadactyla (Chinese pangolin)
Lineage: Eukaryota; Metazoa; Chordata; Mammalia; Pholidota; Manidae
Exons: 2
Source: RefSeq, a predicted model, not a curated record
UCCACCCCAGGAGGACAGAGGGAGGAAGGCAGGCAGAGCCGGCACUUGGGGACGGCAGUGGUCCGAGCGGUUCCGGAGCAGGAGCUCUUCUCAGAGAGGCAGGGACAGACCGGCAGCGGACACCCUGGCGCCCCCCACAGCCCCUGCCCCCCGAGGGCUGGUUCCGUGGCAGGGGCUCCUGCUGGCAGUCUCACUCUUAACCUGGAACCUGCUCACAACUGCCCAGCUCGCUGUGGAGUCGGUGCCGCCCAAUGCUGUCCAAGGGCAGGAUGUUCUUCUGCUUGCUCGCAAUCCUCCUGAGAGUCUUCUAGGCUAUGCCUGGUACAAAGGGGACCAUGUAAAUUUCAACUCUACAAUUGUAUCAUAUGUAAUAAACACACAAGCAGUUACCCCAGGGAUCGCAUACAGCAGCCGAGAGACAAUAUACCUCAGUGGAUCCCUGUUGUUCCAGAAUGUCACCCAAGAGGACACAGGAUACUACACCCUACAAGCCUUACACGGAAGUCUUCUGAGUACAACAGCAGCUGUCCAGCUUGGUGUCUACCGUGAGUGAUUCCUUUCUGACCUCUGGGUGUUGGGUGGGGUGAAUUGUACUUCACAAACAGUAGACUGACUGGUAGAGCUUUCCCUCACGUACUCACCACCCCCUGCUCCCUGCCUGCCCCCCUCAUUCAUUUCUGGAUUCCUAGUCCCUGCAGUGCCAUUCACGGGGUCAGUGUGUCUGGUCAGUCAUUAUCACACAGCAGGACAGAAUGCCCCACCUGCCUCUAUGGGGCCUGAGUCUGCAACUAGUUAUUUGAGAUCCCUUGAGAUUCUAUGUGAGUUUUUGGAAAUUUCUUUCUCUAUAAAAUAUUUCAUUGGAAUGUUGGAAAGGAUUGCAUUGAAUCUGUGUGUCUCUUUGGUGGUAUUGUCAUCUUAACUAUGGUAGGUCUUCCUAUUCUUGAACAUGGGAUGUCUUUCCAUUUAUCUGUGGUUUUGUAAAUUUCUUUCCACAUGAUUGCUAGAUUUCCCUACACAAGUCUGUUCCCUCAUUGGUUAAAUUUACUCCUAAGUAUUUUAUUCCUUGCAAAGUUAUUGUAAUUUCAAUCAUUUUCUUAAUAUCCAUUUUGGAUAGUUCAUUUUUGUGUGGAGAAACACACCUGAUUUUUGUAUGUUGAUUUUGUGUCUUGCAACUUGGCCAAAUUCAUUUGUUAGUUCUACCAGAUUUGUGGAAUCCUUGGGGUUGUCUACAUGUAAGUUCAUGCCGUCUGCAAACAUAUGUACAUAACUGUACUUCCUCCUUUCUGAUUUGGAUGCAUCCAUUUCUCCUUCUUGCCUGAUUGUUAUGACUGGGGCUUUUCUACUGUACAAAUGGGACACUGAAAGUGACAUCCUUGUUGUCUUCCUAUGAGGUGAGUGUGGGCAAUGAAUGCUCUGGUCCCACAGCCCCAAGGGUCCCAGAUGCCCCCAACCCACCCCCUGCUGAUCUACUAGGUUCAGAAAACGAUGGCAGAAAGGGAAACAGAAGGUGAUGGGAGGAGGGGGGGCUUUGGGGUCAAACCCCCUGGCCCAGCCCGGUCCUGCCUAGAGCAGCCCCAGGUGGACUCAGGGCCUGGCAGGUGCUGCACAGGUUCUGCGAAGGUUCCUGGUGAGUGUUUGGCCUCUUCUUCUUUUACAGUGUUUGUCACACCCCAACACGAACAUUUACUGCCGCAUCGACCAUAAAGCAGAUGCGGCUUCUUAGUUUCCUCUGUCAGCUGCUCUUUAAGAACUGUGGCAGGGUCCGCCUGACCCCACUCCCUGGCUAGGGUCACAAGCUGGAGCCUGAGCCAGAAAAUCAGCUCUGAGCCUGGGCAUAUUCAGGGACCCGAGGCCAGGUUCCCGACUCUCCUGAUUUCUUCAGUCCCCAAAGGGCUGCCCUGAUUCCUGGGUGGGCCAGACAAAGGCUCCCAUCCCCCCAGGAAGUGGGGGAGCUCCCAGGGAUGGUGACCUGACCCUCCUCCACCACCUGAGAGGGUGUGAAUAAAGAGGACCCUUCACCUCU